GACGAACGCUGGCGGCGUGCUUAACACAUGCAAGUCGAACGGAAAGGCCCUGCUUUUGUGGGGUGCUCGAGUGGCGAACGGGUGAGUAACACGUGAGUAACCUGCCCUUGACUUUGGGAUAACUUCAGGAAACUGGGGCUAAUACCGGAUAGGAGCUCCUGCUGCAUGGUGGGGGUUGGAAAGUUUCGGCGGUUGGGGAUGGACUCGCGGCUUAUCAGCGUGUUGGUGGGGUAGUGGCUUACCAAGGCUUUGACGGGUAGCCGGCCUGAGAGGGUGACCGGGGAAGCUGGGACUCAGAUACCGCCGAGACUCCGACGGGGGGCCUGCGACGCGUAGGGCGCAGAGUCGGCGUACGCGUUGUACAGCGACCUCGCGUGCGGGGAGGCGUCCUGCGGGUUAUAGGACGAUUUAGCCUCGGAUAACUCGUUACCAGCGGUGCUGUGUAUAGACCCAACCGCUAACCACGUC
This 468-nucleotide ribosomal RNA is filed under the name uncultured bacterium. RNAcentral's name for it is "partial 16S ribosomal RNA". It matches the Rfam family "Bacterial small subunit ribosomal RNA", at positions 28 to 507 of the family's 1533-position model. The record is from RNAcentral.